ACCCGAGGACUACGGUUCCCAGAAGCCCGCGCGGCAUCACCGGCUUGCGCAAUCACGUUAGCGCGUUCCUUCAACCAACUUGUGGAGCCUACUGCUGUUAGACACCGAGACGCCGGAGAAGAAAAGACGGUUCUCGAGGCACGUAUCAAAUGUGGACAUGGCGAGGCUGAGGACCAAGAUUGAUAAAAUGCGAUUUCUGUCCUCAAGGAGCUCCCUCAAGAUCGAGGGGAGAGUAGAAAAUAUCACGAGGAGCAGCUCUCCAGGAAUCUGAGGACCAAGACCACAUCCCUGACACCCCACUGCCAUCCAUGAUUCUUUCAAGGAAUCUGCCAGCAUUCCAGACCUCCCCACAAAGACGGCCCAGCGGUCUGCCCCAGGUCCUUCCCCUUGGUCUGAGUCAGUCCCCCAGGGAUCAAGCAGCCUGGCCUCUGCCUCCUGGGGCCUGGUUCAGUGUCAGCAGCCAGAGACAGCCAGCCACGGGGAGCCCACGCACAAGGAACAGCCAAGCCUCUGCGACAGGCCGCACUUUAUUUGGAGUUUUCCACCUAAGCAGCUCCCAGCUGAGCCGCAUGACAUGUGCAAAAAUCCCCCCAGAAAGCUGGGCCUCGCAGUGUGUAAAAAAGGCCCCCCAUGGGGCAGAGCUGUGCAAUCAUAAUAAAAAAAAAAAAA
Molecule: non-coding RNA, 669 nt
Organism: Vicugna pacos (alpaca)
Lineage: Eukaryota; Metazoa; Chordata; Mammalia; Artiodactyla; Camelidae
Source: RefSeq, a predicted model, not a curated record